AUUGAACGCUGGCGGCAUGCCUUACACAUGCAAGUCGAACGGUAACAGGUCUUCGGUUGCUGACGAGCGGCGAACGGGUGAGUAAUACAUCGGAACGUGCCCGAUCGUGGGGGAUAACGAAGCGAAAGCUUUGCUAAUACCGCAUACGAUCUACGGAUGAAAGCGGGGGAUCUUCGGACCUCGCGCGGACGGAGCGGCCGAUGGCAGAUUAGGUAGUUGGUGGGAUAAAAGCUUACCAAGCCGACGAUCUGUAGCUGGUCUGAGAGGAUGAUCAGCCACACUGGGACUGAGACACGGCCCAGACUCCUACGGGAGGCAGCAGUGGGGAAUUUUGGACAAUGGGCGCAAGCCUGAUCCAGCCAUGCCGCGUGCAGGAUGAAGGCCUUCGGGUUGUAAACUGCUUUUGUACGGAACGAAAAGGUGCCUUCUAAUAAAGGGCGCUCAUGACGGUACCGUAAGAAUAAGCACCGGCUAACUACGUG
Molecule: ribosomal RNA, 482 nt
Filed under: uncultured bacterium
Lineage: Bacteria
Description: partial 16S ribosomal RNA
Rfam family: Bacterial small subunit ribosomal RNA
Source: RNAcentral